This 377-nucleotide ribosomal RNA is filed under the name Shigella sonnei. RNAcentral describes it as "partial 23S ribosomal RNA". It matches the Rfam family "Bacterial large subunit ribosomal RNA", at positions 1 to 409 of the family's 2925-position model. The record is from RNAcentral. Lineage: Bacteria; Pseudomonadati; Pseudomonadota; Gammaproteobacteria; Enterobacterales; Enterobacteriaceae.
GGGUUGUGAGGUUAAGCGACUAAGCGUACACGGUGGAUGCCCUGGCAGUCAGAGGCGAUGAAGGACGUGCUAAUCUGCGAUAAGCGUCGGUAAGGUGAUAUGAACCGUUGUAACCGGCGAUUUCCGAAUGGGGAAACCCAGUGUGAUUCGUCACACUAUCAUUAACUGAAUCCAUAGGUUAAUGAGGCGAACCGGGGGAACUGAAACAUCUAAGUACCCCGAGGAAAAGAAAUCAACCGAGAUUCCCCCAGUAGCGGCGAGCGAACGGGGAGCAGCCCAGAGCCUGAAUCAGUGUGUGUGUUAGUGGAAGCGUCUGGAAAGGCGCGCGAUACAGGGUGACAGCCCCGUACACAAAAAUGCACAUAUUGUGAGCUCGA